GACGAACGCUGGCGGCGUGCCUAAUACAUGCAAGUCGAACGCUUCUUUCCUCCCUAGUGCUUGCUCUCAAUUGGAAAGGGUAGUGGCGGACUGGUGAUUAACACGUUGGUAACCUACCCCUCAGAGGGGGAUGACAUAUUGAAACAUAUGCUAAUACCGAAUAACAGUUUAUGCCUCAUGGCUUACGCUUUCAAGUCACUUUCGGUCGUCGUAGAUGGAUGGAGCCGGGGUGCAUUAGCUAGUUGGUGAGGUAACGGCUCACCAAGGCCACGAUGCAUAACUGGUCUGAGAGGAUGAUCAGUCACACUGGGACUGAGACACGGCCCAGACUCCUACGGGAGGCAGCAGUAGGGAAUAUUGGGCAAUGGACGAAAGUCUGAUCCAGCAACGCCGCGUGAGUGAAGAAGGUCUUCGGAUCGUAAAACUCUGUUGUUUGGGAAGAAGGAGGACAUUAGAAACUGAACGUGCCCUGACGUUACCAAAAGAGAAAGCAACGGCUAACUACGUG
This 508-nucleotide ribosomal RNA is filed under the name uncultured bacterium. RNAcentral describes it as "partial 16S ribosomal RNA". It matches the Rfam family "Bacterial small subunit ribosomal RNA", at positions 28 to 507 of the family's 1533-position model. The record is from RNAcentral.